UGUGAUGUAUGUAGGCCUAUCUCUCGCCUCUCGGCACUUGGUCGGGUAUUUCUUGUAUUUGCAUAUUGCAGGUAAUAAGGCUUGAUGGUUUCCCAGAACUGAGCAACAUGUGUUCGCACUUUGCAGAGGCAGGCAUUACCGGUAAGCUCAUUCAUCUACAUCAGGCUGCGCAAAAAGAUUGCAGCAGCAUCUGCAAAUACCGGAGUUCUGAACCCUACAAAUUUUGCAGCAGCAUCCGCAUGUAUCGAAAAUUUACGAAAAUUUCUAGCAGAGAAUGAAGGCAGCAUCAGGAGAAACUGUAAUCUCUCAAUUUCUGGCCAGUUUAUACGUCGUGGGUCUCGAUUAGUUUGGCAAUGUGCCAAACACAAAUCAUCCCACCCAGCUGCGCUCCGCAAAUGCCCGCCCGCGCGUCCCAGUCACCCCGCCGCUGCGCAUGCGCCGCCGCCGCCAGGUCCCACGCCGCCCUCCUCCCCACGCUCUGGAACCAGCUGCUCACCGGCUACUCCGCCGCCACCCUUCCCGGCUUCGGCCUCGCCGCCGCGCGCCGGGUGUUCGACGAGAUCCCGCGCCCCGACGCGAUCUCAUGGAACGCGCACGUCGCCGCGGGCGCGCACCCGGACGCAUGUCGCCUCCUCCGGGCCGUGCACGCGCGGGGCCUCGCCGCCAGCACUUUCGCCCUCGCCUCCGCGCUCCGCUCCGCCGUCUCCCCGCGCUCGGCGCCCAGCUGCAGCCGUUCGCCGUCAAGUCCGGCCUCGCCGACGACGUCAUCCCCGCUAGCGCGUUCCUCGACGUUUACGCGAGAUGUGGCCGCUUGAGCGAUGCUCGCUGUGUGUUCGACGGAAUGCCGGAGCGGAAUACCGUCUCUUGGAACACGCUCAUUGCUGGGUACGCGUAGUCUGGGAAUCUGGCACAAGCGAAGGCGCAGAUGAAGCCACAUUUGCCCUUUUGCUCGUUGCAGUUGACAGUCUGUUUCUUGAUGCAAGAGUUGGACGGGAAUCACCAACACCUGGGACAAGCUGUCAAUGCGGUUAGGAGGACGAUGCAAACUGGUGGUGGUGCAGGAUAAUUGCACGAAAUAUGCUCAAAAGUGCCAACUGGCCGGCGAUAGAGAAUUGGUCAGAUGGAGCGCUCCAGCUGCAAAUACGCAAUGUGCAAGUGUUGGAAUGUGAUCUUGACCAACACCAACAUUACGUGCAUAUCCACCUGCACCAACAAACAUAAGAGAGAUUAGUGAGUUUGUUACUAGUGUCGUCAUGAUCGGCAGGCGACCCUAAGGGUUAUCUGGAGUCGGCCCUGACCCCACAGUGCUAUAAGUGAAGAGUUGAUGCUUAAUGCACCUAAUCACGUCAUUAGUCAAAACACGGGUCGGGCACUGGAGGGGUUGGAAGCCCAAUUACCAUGUCUGGAGGCUGCUCCUCUACUUCCAGAUUCAGUUCUUCAUUAACCAGGAGCAAGAAGCUCCUAAUCUGGUGAAGAAUAAGAUUACUGCUUCAUCUAAAACAAUUCAUCUACGACUACAGAUGGCACUUCAAGACUCUGAGCAGCAAAUUAUGAGCUCAAAAUCAGUCAUGCUCAUGGAUCAUGGUGUUGCACAGUAGAACAAUAACGGCCUAUUUGGUUUGGCAAUUGAUUCCAUCCGGCAUGGGCUGGUCCUGCAUGCACACAGUGGAAGGGAUGACUUCACGAAGCCGCGAAGGUUUAUACCGUCCUUAAACAUCUCAUCGGUUGGACGCUUUCCUGUGAUCAUCUCUAGAAGCAUGAUUCCAUAGCUGUAGAUGUCACCCUCAAUUGAAACUUUGCACCCCAUGCCAUACUCUGCAAUAUUGUGCAAAACUUUAUAAAAAAAGAUCCUCUGGGUCCUGCAAUGCUCGAUGUUGAAGAGUCACUGGAUAGAAACUUUGCAAGCCCAAAGUCACCAAGGCAUGCAACCAUUUCAUCAUUCAGAAGCACAUUGCUUGGCUUUAGAUCGCAAUGAACCAAAG
This is a long non-coding RNA of Setaria italica (foxtail millet), 1982 nucleotides long. RefSeq lists it as uncharacterized. The transcript has 5 exons. The record is from RefSeq and is a predicted model, not a curated record. NCBI's taxonomy places the organism in Eukaryota, Viridiplantae, Streptophyta, Magnoliopsida, Poales, Poaceae.